Molecule: ribosomal RNA, 821 nt
Filed under: uncultured organism
Description: bacterial SSU rRNA
Rfam family: Bacterial small subunit ribosomal RNA
Source: RNAcentral
CUGUGCCAGCAGGAGCGGUAAUACAGAGGCCUCAAGCGUUAUCCGGAUUCACUGGGCGUAAAGGGUGCGUAGGCGGUUAUAUUAGUCGGGCGUAAAAUCCUAGGGCUCAACCUUAGGCUCGCGUUCGAAACGGUAUAACUAGGAGUAGUGAGAGGUGAACAGAACUCGCGGUGUAGGGGUGAAAUCCGUUGAUAUCGUGGGGAAUACCAAAUGCGAAGGCAGUUCACUGGCGCUUACUCGACGCUGAGGCACGAAAGCGUGGGUAGCGAACGGGAUUAGAUACCCCGGUAGUCCACGCCCUAAACGCUGUCCGCUGGCUUUAGGGAGAAUCGACCCUCCCUGAGGCGAAGGUAACCCGUUAAGCGGACCGCCUGGGUAGUACGAGCGCAAGCUUAAAACUCAAAGGAAUAGACGGGGGCUCGCACAAGCGGUGGAUCAUGAGGCUUAAUUCGUCGAUAAGCGAAAAACCUUACCCAGGCUAGAAACCAUACUGCACGCUCUCCGAAAGGAGAGAAUCCUUCGAGGGUGUAUGGCAGGUGAUGCAUGGCCGUCGUCAGUUCGUGGCUUGAGCUGUUCCCUUAAGUGGGGAAACGAACGCAACCCUCGUUGCCUGUUACAAGUGUCAGGCGAGACUGCUCCCUCACGGGAGAGGAAGGUGAGGAUGACGCCAGGUCAGCAUGUCCCUUGAUGCCUGGGGCUGCACUCGUGAUACAAUGGGAUGUACAAAGGGACGCAAUACAGUAAUGUGGAGCAAAUCCUGAUAAAACAUUCCUCAGUUCGGAUUGAGGGCUGCAACUCGCCCUCAUGAAGCCGGAAUCGCU